RNAcentral lists this ribosomal RNA (426 nucleotides) under uncultured bacterium. RNAcentral describes it as "partial 16S ribosomal RNA". It matches the Rfam family "Bacterial small subunit ribosomal RNA", at positions 354 to 796 of the family's 1533-position model. The record is from RNAcentral.
GUGGGGAAUAUUGCACAAUGGGGGAAACCCUGAUGCAGCGACGCCGCGUGGAGGAAGAAGGUCUUCGGAUUGUAAACUCCUGUUGUUGAGGAAGAUAAUGACGGUACUCAACAAGGAAGUGACGGCUAACUACGUGCCAGCAGCCGCGGUAAAACGUAGGUCACAAGCGUUGUCCGGAAUUACUGGGUGUAAAGGGAGCGCAGGCGGGAGAACAAGUUGGAAGUGAAAUCCAUGGGCUCAACCCAUGAACUGCUUUCAAAACUGUUUUUUCUUGAGUAGUGCAGAGGUAGGCGGAAUUCCCGGUGUAGCGGUGGAAUGCGUAGAUAUCGGGAGGAACACCAGUGGCGAAGGCGGCCUACUGGGCACCAACUGACGCUGAGGCUCGAAAGUGUGGGUAGCAAACAGGAUUAGAUACCCGAGUAGUCC